AUAGCGGCGUCGUACGGUGGAGGUAACCGAGAGAUCUCGAGAAAAUUCCGGAGAUCGGAGCUCGCAUUUUCGCCGGUGAAUGGAGGUUUUUGUUAGGGUUUUCGCCGUCCGUUCAAUUUCAUUUCAUUUUGCCGGUACUUUUUGCUCGUCAAAUAAAAUGGGCUGUCUAAGGCCCACAUAAUAAGGCCCAUAAC
Arabidopsis thaliana (thale cress) is the source of this 194-nucleotide non-coding RNA. RefSeq annotates it as other RNA. The transcript has a single exon. The record is from RefSeq. NCBI's taxonomy places the organism in Eukaryota, Viridiplantae, Streptophyta, Magnoliopsida, Brassicales, Brassicaceae.